Molecule: ribosomal RNA, 1100 nt
Filed under: Streptococcus salivarius
Lineage: Bacteria; Bacillati; Bacillota; Bacilli; Lactobacillales; Streptococcaceae
Description: bacterial SSU rRNA
Rfam family: Bacterial small subunit ribosomal RNA
Source: RNAcentral
GCCUUGUAGCGGGGGAUAACUAUUGGAAACGAUAGCUAAUACCGCAUAACAAUGGGUGACACAUGUCAUUUAUUUGAAAGGGGCAAUUGCUCCACUACAAGAUGGACCUGCGUUGUAUUAGCUAGUAGGUGAGGUAACGGCUCACCUAGGCGACGAUACAUAGCCGACCUGAGAGGGUGAUCGGCCACACUGGGACUGAGACACGGCCCAGACUCCUACGGGAGGCAGCAGUAGGGAAUCUUCGGCAAUGGGGGCAACCCUGACCGAGCAACGCCGCGUGAGUGAAGAAGGUUUUCGGAUCGUAAAGCUCUGUUGUAAGUCAAGAACGAGUGUGAGAGUGGAAAGUUCACACUGUGACGGUAGCUUACCAGAAAGGGACGGCUAACUACGUGCCAGCAGCCGCGGUAAUACGUAGGUCCCGAGCGUUGUCCGGAUUUAUUGGGCGUAAAGCGAGCGCAGGCGGUUUGAUAAGUCUGAAGUUAAAGGCUGUGGCUCAACCAUAGUUCGCUUUGGAAACUGUCAAACUUGAGUGCAGAAGGGGAGAGUGGAAUUCCAUGUGUAGCGGUGAAAUGCGUAGAUAUAUGGAGGAACACCGGUGGCGAAAGCGGCUCUCUGGUCUGUAACUGACGCUGAGGCUCGAAAGCGUGGGGAGCGAACAGGAUUAGAUACCCUGGUAGUCCACGCCGUAAACGAUGAGUGCUAGGUGUUGGAUCCUUUCCGGGAUUCAGUGCCGCAGCUAACGCAUUAAGCACUCCGCCUGGGGAGUACGACCGCAAGGUUGAAACUCAAAGGAAUUGACGGGGGCCCGCACAAGCGGUGGAGCAUGUGGUUUAAUUCGAAGCAACGCGAAGAACCUUACCAGGUCUUGACAUCCCGAUGCUAUUUCUAGAGAUAGAAAGUUACUUCGGUACAUCGGUGACAGGUGGUGCAUGGUUGUCGUCAGCUCGUGUCGUGAGAUGUUUGGGUUAAGUCCCGCAACGAGCGCAACCCCUAUUGUUAGUUGCCAUCAUUCAGUUGGGCACUCUAACGAGACUGCCGGUAUAAACCCGAGGAAAGGGGGGGGAUAAGUCCAAAUCAUCAUGCCCCUUAUAACCCGGGCU